Molecule: ribosomal RNA, 324 nt
Filed under: uncultured bacterium
Lineage: Bacteria
Description: bacterial SSU rRNA
Rfam family: Bacterial small subunit ribosomal RNA
Source: RNAcentral
GAUGAACGCUGGCGGCGUGCUUAACACAUGCAAGUCGAACGAAGCAUUUUGGAAUGAGACUUCGGUGGAUUUUCAAAAUGACUGAGUGGCGGACGGGUGAGUAACGCGUGGGCAACCUGCCUUACACAGGGGGACAACAGUUAGAAAUGACUGCUAAUACCGCAUAAGCGCACAGUGCUGCAUGGCACAGUGUGAAAAACUCCGGUGGUGUAAGAUGGGCCCGCGUUGGAUUAGCUAGUUGGUGGGGUAACGGCCUACCAAGGCGACGAUCCAUAGCCGACCUGAGAGGGUGACCGGCCACAUUGGGACUGAGACACGGCCCAA